Molecule: ribosomal RNA, 465 nt
Filed under: Vreelandella stevensii
Lineage: Bacteria; Pseudomonadati; Pseudomonadota; Gammaproteobacteria; Oceanospirillales; Halomonadaceae
Description: partial 16S ribosomal RNA
Rfam family: Bacterial small subunit ribosomal RNA
Source: RNAcentral
CCUACGGGAGGCAGCAGUGGGGAAUAUUGGACAAUGGGGGGAACCCUGAUCCAGCCAUGCCGCGUGUGUGAAGAAGGCCCUCGGGUUGUAAAGCACUUUCAGUGAGGAAGAACGCCUGGUGGUUAAUACCCAUCAGGAAAGACAUCACUCACAGAAGAAGCACCGGCUAACUCCGUGCCAGCAGCCGCGGUAAUACGGAGGGUGCGAGCGUUAAUCGGAAUUACUGGGCGUAAAGCGCGCGUAGGUGGCUUGAUAAGCCGGUUGUGAAAGCCCCGGGCUCAACCUGGGAACGGCAUCCGGAACUGUCGAGCUAGAGUGCAGGAGAGGAAGGUAGAAUUCCCAGUGUAGCGGUGAAAUGCGUAGAGAUCGGGAGGAAUACCAGUGGCGAAGGCGGCCUUCUGGACUGACACUGACACUGAGGUGCGAAAGCGUGGGUAGCAAACAGGAUUAGAUACCCCAGUAGUC